ACCCUCGUCUGAGACAGACCACGCCCACCCCGCCAGCUUCAAGCGCUCUUCCAAACAUGGCGGAGCGAACGGGGUUCAGCUCACAGCAGCACCAGCAGGUACUUUUCCAAUUAAAUUUCAUACAGACGUUAUGUUUAAUGUUAUAUUUAUUUUUUAAGUAAGUGUUUAACUCUAUUAAGAUGCUCAUGUUAGCGGGGUGUGCUAAAUAUCCAUGCUUAAAUUAUACUAGUUAGUUAGUGAACACUAACCUACCUAGUCAGUGAGUUAGCUAGUUUACCUAGGUUAUCUGGUCAGUGAGUUAGUGGGUUAGCUAAGCUAGUUAGGUUACCUAGUCAGUGAGUUAGCUAGUUAACCUUAACCAGCACUUACUUGGCUUUACCCUGGGGCAUAAUAACUAGCUUAGCUAACCCACUAACUCACUGACCAGAUGACCUAGGUAAACUAGCUAACUCACUGACUAGGUAGGUUAGUGUUCACUAACUAACUAGUAUAAUUUAAGCAUGGAUAUUUAGCACACCCCGCUAACAUGAGCAUCUUAAUAGAGUUAAACACUUACUUAAAAAAGAAAUAUAACAUUAAACAUAACGUCUGUAUGAAAUUUAAUUGGAAAAGUACCUGCUGGUGCUGCUGUGAGCUGAACCCCGUUCGCUCCGCCAUGUUUGGAAGAGCGCUUGAAGCUGGCGGGGUGGGCGUGGUCUGUCUAGACGAGGGUUCAGGGUAGGUGACCAAUAGAGAUUAAAGGGGAACGCCUUCUUCUAAGCCCCGCCCACCCGUGAAAAGUGUGCCAAAAAUCAGAACCAAAAAAAUGAAGCAGAAGCAAAGGAGAGAUUCCAGAAGCAAAAGUCUUUAGCAGCAAAAUCCACAAAAAUCCACAGAAAAUCCAAAAAAAAUCCAAAAAUGAAAGCAAAGACUGGCAAAAUCCAAACUAAAAUAAUUUUCAAAUAAGUGCAAAGAAUAAUAAAAUAACCAAGUAUAUUUAAAUAUAUAUAUUUGAUAUAUAUUUUUCUCUUUUGAAUUUGCAACAUACAUGUUUUACUUUUGAUUCUUAAAAUUUUGAUUGUGGAUUUUAUUUUUUUACGUAAAACUUUUGGCACAAAAUUCACUCCAUAAGGAAGGGGGUGGGAACAACAGAGGGUGUGCCACAGGUAACAGCCACCUGGCCUAAACAUAGCCCCAGAUUUGUCGGAUGUCUGCAGACUCUGGGGAAACCACUUCACAUCAUGCUUUGCCUUCUAAAUAGUCAAAACUAAUUCCAUCUUCCUCCGAGUUACUGACUGCCCACCUGUCUGACCCGAUACCGAUGGAUGUUGGACCCUCAGGCUCUCAUGUCCUCUGUCUGGCCAGACUGGAAGUUUCUGAAGUCAGCUCUUCUCCAUCCACCACCACAGAUCAGCUGCUCAUCAUCCAUCUUACUCUAUAAGCCAUUAGUGGAGCUGCUAUACACCUGAAUAUAUAAAACCUAUGUGGAUGUAUGAAAGACUUUUUAAAAUUAAUUUAAAAGCCAUUUGACCAGUGGUAGGAUGGUCCCCCCUUUAAUGUGAGUCUUGGUCCUCCCAAGGUUUCUUCCUCCUCCUGCAGCUCUGAGGGAGUUUUUCCUUGCCUCCGCGCUCACUGGGGGUUCUGUAUUAUGUAUUUUCUAUGUUUAAUCUUUUGCCUGACUCUUUGUCCUGUAAUCAUGUUUUUGUAAAGCUGCUUUGUGCCAACACCAGUUGUAAAAAGCGCUAUAAAAAUAAAUUUGAUUUGAUUUGA
This is a long non-coding RNA of Astyanax mexicanus (Mexican tetra), 1749 nucleotides long. RefSeq lists it as uncharacterized. NCBI's taxonomy places the organism in Eukaryota, Metazoa, Chordata, Actinopteri, Characiformes, Acestrorhamphidae. The transcript is spliced from 3 exons. The record is from RefSeq and is a predicted model, not a curated record.